This 512-nucleotide ribosomal RNA is filed under the name uncultured Bacteroidota bacterium. Its description in RNAcentral is "bacterial SSU rRNA". It matches the Rfam family "Bacterial small subunit ribosomal RNA", at positions 60 to 573 of the family's 1533-position model. The record is from RNAcentral. Lineage: Bacteria; Pseudomonadati; Bacteroidota.
AGUCGAGGGGUAUUUAUCUUCGGAUAGAGAGACCGGCGCACGGGUGCGUAACGCGUAUGCAAUCUACCUUUUACAGAGGGAUAGCCCAGAGAAAUUUGGAUUAAUACCUCAUAGUAUUAUGAAAUGGCAUCAUUUUAUAAUUAAAGUCACAACGGUAAAAGAUGAGCAUGCGUCCCAUUAGCUAGUUGGUAAGGUAACGGCUUACCAAGGCUACGAUGGGUAGGGGUCCUGAGAGGGAGAUCCCCCACACUGGUACUGAGACACGGACCAGACUCCUACGGGAGGCAGCAGUGAGGAAUAUUGGACAAUGGGCGCAAGCCUGAUCCAGCCAUGCCGCGUGCAGGAUGACGGUCCUAUGGAUUGUAAACUGCUUUUAUACGAGAAGAAACACUCCAACGUGUUGGAGCUUGACGGUAUCGUAAGAAUAAGGAUCGGCUAACUCCGUGCCAGCAGCCGCGGUAAUACGGAGGAUCCAAGCGUUAUCCGGAAUCAUUGGGUUUAAAGGGUCCGUA